UUGGGUUAAGUCCCGCAACGAGCGCAACCCUUGUCCUUAGUUGCCAGCAUUUGGUUGGGCACUCUAGGGAGACUGCCGGUGACAAACCGGAGGAAGGUGGGGAUGACGUCAAAUCAUCAUGCCCCUUAUGAGUUGGGCUACACACGCGCUACAAUGGACGGUACAAAGGGCAGCGAAGCCGCGAGGUGGAGCCAAUCCCAGAAAGCCGUUCUCAGUUCGGAUUGCAGGCUGCAACUCGCCUGCAUGAAGUCGGAAUCGCUAGUAAUCGCAGGUCAGCAUACUGCGGUGAAUACGUUCCCGGGUCUUGUACACACCGCCCGUCACACCACGAGAGUUUGCAACACCCGAAGUCGGUGAGUAAC
This 362-nucleotide ribosomal RNA is filed under the name uncultured Exiguobacterium sp. RNAcentral describes it as "bacterial SSU rRNA". It matches the Rfam family "Bacterial small subunit ribosomal RNA", at positions 1075 to 1439 of the family's 1533-position model. Lineage: Bacteria; Bacillati; Bacillota; Bacilli; Caryophanales. The record is from RNAcentral.